GUUCCACAGGGAUGCUGGCCCAUGUGACUCUACAAGGUGUAGAAAGCGAUCCACAGGGAUGCUGGCCCAUGUUGACUCUACAAGGUGUAGAAAGCGUUCCACAGGGAUACUGGCCCAUGUUGACUCUACAAGGUGUGGAAAGCGUUCCACGGGGAUGCUGGCCCAUGUUGACUCUACAAGGUGUUGAAAGCGUUCCACAGGGAUGCUGGCCCAUGUUGACUCUACAAGGUGUUGAAAGCGUUCCACAGGGAUGUUGGCCCAUGUUGACUCUACAAGGUGUUGAAAGCGUUCCACAGGGAUGCUGGUCCAUGUUGACUCUACAAGGUGUCUAAAGCGUUCCACAGGGAUGCUGGCCCAUGUUGACUCUACAAGGUGUAGAAAGCGUUCCACAGGGAUGCUGGCCCAUGUUAACUCUACAAGGUGUAGAAAGCGUUCCACAGGGAUACUGGCCCAUGUUGACUCUACAAGGUGUAGAAAGCGUUCCACAGGGAUACUGGCCCAUGUUGACUCUACAAGGUGUUGAAAGCGUUCCACAGGGAUGCUGGUCCAUGUUGACUCUACAAGGUGUAGAAAGCGUUCCACAGGGAUACUGGCCCAUGUUGACUCUACAAGGUGUAGAAAGCGUUCCACAGGGAUGCUGGCCCAUGUUGACUCUACAAGGUGUUGAAAGCGUUCCACAGGGAUGUUGGCCCAUGUUGACUCUACAAGGUGUAGAAAGCGUUCCACAGGGAUGCUGGCCCAUGUUGACUCUACAAGGUGUUGAAAGCGUUCCACAGGGAUGCUGGCCCAUGUUGACUCUACAAGGUGUUGAAAGCGUUCCACAGGGAUGCUGGUCCAUGUUGACUCUACAAGGUGUUGAAAGCGUUCCACAGGGAUGCUGGUCCAUGUUGACUCUACAAGGUGUUGAAAGCGUUCCACAGGGAUACUGGCCCAUGUUGACUCCAAUGCU
Molecule: long non-coding RNA, 949 nt
Organism: Oncorhynchus keta (chum salmon)
Lineage: Eukaryota; Metazoa; Chordata; Actinopteri; Salmoniformes; Salmonidae
Exons: 6
Source: RefSeq, a predicted model, not a curated record